GAGUUUGAUCGUGGCUCAGAUUGAACGCUGGCGGCAUGCCUUACACAUGCAAGUCGAACGGCAGCAUGAUCUAGCUUGCUAGAUUGAUGGCGAGUGGCGAACGGGUGAGUAAUACAUCGGAACGUGCCCUGUAGUGGGGGAUAACUAGUCGAAAGAUUAGCUAAUACCGCAUACGACCUGAGGGUGAAAGUGGGGGACCGCAAGGCCUCAUGCUAUAGGAGCGGCCGAUGUCUGAUUAGCUAGUUGGUGGGGU
RNAcentral lists this ribosomal RNA (253 nucleotides) under uncultured microorganism. RNAcentral describes it as "partial 16S ribosomal RNA". It matches the Rfam family "Bacterial small subunit ribosomal RNA", at positions 9 to 258 of the family's 1533-position model. The record is from RNAcentral.